UACGUAGGGGGCAAGCGUUGUCCGGAUUUAUUGGGCGUAAAGAGCGUGUAGGCGGUUUGGUAGGUCCGCUGUGAAAACUCGAGGCUCAACCUCGAGACGCCGGUGGAAACCAUCAGACUAGAGUCCGGAAGAGGAGAAUGGAAUUCCUGGUGUAGCGGUGAAAUGCGCAGAUAUCAGGAGGAACACCGGUGGCGAAGGCGGUUCUCUGGGCAUUACCUGACGCUGAGGAGCGAAAGCGUGGGGAGCAAACAGG
This 253-nucleotide ribosomal RNA is filed under the name uncultured bacterium. RNAcentral describes it as "partial 16S ribosomal RNA". It matches the Rfam family "Bacterial small subunit ribosomal RNA", at positions 524 to 776 of the family's 1533-position model. The record is from RNAcentral.